This 253-nucleotide ribosomal RNA is filed under the name uncultured bacterium. RNAcentral describes it as "partial 16S ribosomal RNA". It matches the Rfam family "Bacterial small subunit ribosomal RNA", at positions 524 to 776 of the family's 1533-position model. The record is from RNAcentral.
UACGGAGGGUGCAAGCGUUAUCCGGAUUCACUGGGUUUAAAGGGUGCGUAGGUGGGUAAGUAAGUCAGUGGUGAAAUCUCCGGGCUUAACCCGGAAACUGCCAUUGAUACUAUUUGUCCUGAAUACUGUGGAGGUCAGCGGAAUAUGUCAUGUAGCGGUGAAAUGCUUAGAUAUGACAUAGAACACCAAUUGCGAAGGCAGCUGGCUACACAAAUAUUGACACUGAGGCACGAAAGCGUGGGGAUCAAACAGG